This 500-nucleotide ribosomal RNA is filed under the name uncultured bacterium. Its description in RNAcentral is "partial 16S ribosomal RNA". It matches the Rfam family "Bacterial small subunit ribosomal RNA", at positions 30 to 523 of the family's 1533-position model. The record is from RNAcentral.
AUUGAACGCUGGCGGAAUGCUUUACACAUGCAAGUCGAACGGCAGCACGGACUUCGGUCUGGUGGCGAGUGGCGAACGGGUGAGUAAUGUAUCGGAACGUGCCCAGUCGUGGGGGAUAACGUAGUGAAAAUUACGCUAAUACCGCAUACGAUCUAUGGAUGAAAGCGGGGGAUCGCAAGACCUCGCGCGAUUGGAGCGGCCGAUAUCAGAUUAGGUAGUUGGUGGGGUAAAGGCCCACCAAGCCAACGAUCUGUAGCUGGUCUGAGAGGACGACCAGCCACACUGGAACUGGGACACGGUCCAGACUCCUACGGGAGGAAGCAGUGGGGAAUUUUGGACAAUGGGCGAAAGCCUGAUCCAGCCAUUCCGCGGGCAGGAUGAAGGCCCUCGGGUUGUAAACUGCUGUUGUACAGGACGAAAAGGUUUCUACUAAUACUAGGAGCUCAUGACGGUACUGUAAGAAUAAGCACCGGCUAACUACGUGCCAGCCGCCGCCGUAA